GCCAGGUGUGCUGGUGCACACCUGUAGUCUCAGCUACUCAGGAGGCUGAGGCAGGAGAAUCACUUGAGUCCAGGAGGCAGAGGUUGCAGUGAGCCAAGAUGGCACCACUGCACUCCAGCCUGGGCAACAGAGUGAGACUCUGUCUCAA
Molecule: signal recognition particle RNA, 148 nt
Filed under: Nomascus leucogenys (northern white-cheeked gibbon)
Lineage: Eukaryota; Metazoa; Chordata; Mammalia; Primates; Hylobatidae
Description: Metazoan signal recognition particle RNA
Rfam family: Metazoan signal recognition particle RNA
About the family: The signal recognition particle (SRP) is a universally conserved ribonucleoprotein. It is involved in the co-translational targeting of proteins to membranes. The eukaryotic SRP consists of a 300-nucleotide 7S RNA and six proteins: SRPs 72, 68, 54, 19, 14, and 9.
Source: Rfam by way of RNAcentral